GACGAACGCUGGCGGCGCGCCUAACACAUGCAAGUUGAACGAGCGAGAGAGAGCUUGCUUUCUCGAGCGAGUGGCGAACGGGUGAGUAACGCGUGAGGAACCUGCCUCAAAGAGGGGGACAACAGUUGGAAACGACUGCUAAUACCGCAUAAGCCCACAGGUCGGCGAUCGACCAGAGGGAAAAGGAGCAAUCCGCUUUGAGAUGGCCUCGCGUCCGAUUAGCUGGUUGGUGAGGUAACGGCCCACCAAGGCGACGAUCGGUAGCCGGACUGAGAGGUUGAACGGCCACAUUGGGACUGAGACACGGCCCAG
This 312-nucleotide ribosomal RNA is filed under the name uncultured bacterium. RNAcentral's name for it is "bacterial SSU rRNA". It matches the Rfam family "Bacterial small subunit ribosomal RNA", at positions 28 to 334 of the family's 1533-position model. The record is from RNAcentral.